RNAcentral lists this transfer RNA (74 nucleotides) under Eucryptorrhynchus brandti. RNAcentral describes it as "tRNA-Val". The record is from RNAcentral. Lineage: Eukaryota; Metazoa; Arthropoda; Insecta; Coleoptera; Curculionidae.
UUUUAUUAUUUUUAUCUAAAAAAAAUUUAUUUUACACUAAAAUUUGCAUGUAAACUUAUCUUUUACAAUAAAAA